Molecule: unclassified non-coding RNA, 272 nt
Filed under: Glomus sp.
Lineage: Eukaryota; Fungi; Glomeromycota; Glomeromycetes; Glomerales; Glomeraceae
Description: partial contains 5.8S ribosomal RNA and internal transcribed spacer 2
Rfam family: 5.8S ribosomal RNA (bases 1-71)
Source: RNAcentral
GUGAAUCAUCGAAUUUUUGAACGCAUAUUGCACUCUCUGGUAUUCCGGAGAGUAUGCCUGUUUGAGGGUCAGCCUAAAAAAAAAAUCGACAUAGUCGCUGUUUCGCGGUGACAUUCGUCGGAAAUUGGGUCAUCUUAAACCUUUGGGUUUUAAGCUGCUUAAAAUUUUCUUUACGAUUCCACGAACGUUUUUAAGAUUUACUUCUUAUACGUUUAAGGAAUCGAUCUUUAUUAUACGUGUCCGUUGAAUCGGAUAGCGUCCCACAAUAUUUC